AGUCGAGCGGACCGACGGGAGCUUGCUCCCUUAGGUCAGCGGCGGACGGGUGAGUAACACGUGGGUAACCUGCCUGUAAGACUGGGAUAACUCCGGGAAACCGGGGCUAAUACCGGAUGCUUGAUUGAACCGCAUGGUUCAAUCAUAAAAGGUGGCUUUUAGCUACCACUUACAGAUGGACCCGCGGCGCAAUAGCUAGUUGGUGAGGUAACGGCUCACCAAGGCGACGAUGCGUAGCCGACCUGAGAGGGUGAUCGGCCACACUGGGACUGAGACACGGCCCAGACUCCUACGGGAGGCAGCAGUAGGGAAUCUUCCGCAAUGGACGAAAGUCUGACGGAGCAACGCCGCGUGAGUGAUGAAGGUUUUCGGAUCGUAAAACUCUGUUGUUAGGGAAGAACAAGUACCGUUCGAAUAGGGCGGUACCUUGACGGUACCUAACCAGAAAGCCACGGCUAACUACGUGCCAGCAGCCGCGGUAAUACGUAGGUGGCAAGCGUUGUCCGGAAUUAUUGGGCGUAAAGCGCGCGCAGGCGGUUUCUUAAGUCUGAUGUGAAAGCCCCCGGCUCAACCGGGGAGGGUCAUUGGAAACUGGGGAACUUGAGUGCAGAAGAAGAGAGUGGAAUUCCACGUGUAGCGGUGAAAUGCGUAGAGAUGUGGAGGAACACCAGUGGCGAAGGCGACUCUCUGGUCUGUAACUGACGCUGAAGCGCGAAAGCGUGGGGAGCGAACAGGAUUAGAUACCCUGGUAGUCCACGCCGUAAACGAUGAGUGCUAAGUGUUAGAGGGUUUCCGCCCUUUAGUGCUGCAGCAAACGCAUUAAGCACUCCGCCUGGGGAGUACGGUCGCAAGACUGAAACUCAAAGGAAUUGACGGGGGCCCGCACAAGCGGUGGAGCAUGUGGUUUAAUUCGAAGCAACGCGAAGAACCUUACCAGGUCUUGACAUCCUCUGACAACCCUAGAGAUAGGGCUUCCCCUUCGGGGGCAGAGUGACAGGUGGUGCAUGGUUGUCGUCAGCUCGUGUCGUGAGAUGUUGGGUUAAGUCCCGCAACGAGCGCAACCCUUGAUCUUAGUUGCCAGCAUUCAGUUGGGCACUCUAAGGUGACUGCCGGUGAC
RNAcentral lists this ribosomal RNA (1117 nucleotides) under Bacillus licheniformis. RNAcentral describes it as "bacterial SSU rRNA". It matches the Rfam family "Bacterial small subunit ribosomal RNA", at positions 60 to 1159 of the family's 1533-position model. The record is from RNAcentral. Lineage: Bacteria; Bacillati; Bacillota; Bacilli; Caryophanales; Bacillaceae.